Non-coding RNA from Callithrix jacchus (white-tufted-ear marmoset), 417 nucleotides. Lineage: Eukaryota; Metazoa; Chordata; Mammalia; Primates; Cebidae. The record is from RefSeq and is a predicted model, not a curated record.
GAGGCAAUGAGGACACUCUGGCAGGGCAGCUGAGCUGGGUGGAUCCUUGUUCUGUCACCAAGCCUUUAAGUCACAUGCUGACAUGUUACGGUCCUGCCUAGGACCCUGGCCACAAAUACUUAUGAUACUCAACUGGGAAUAACCCAGCUGAUGGGGAAAGAACUCAGAAAGAAGUCAGCACCUGCACCUUGGCAAACUGAAGAACAGCCAAUUUGAUGAGUGAAAACUCCACUUGUGAUCUAGUGGCGUUUUAGGACAACGGGCCCCUCCUGGAUACUCUAGAGAAGCCCAAGUCACCUUUUUCCUUCCUGUUUGCCAUAGCUCCGGGUGUAGGGGUAGAUCAGAAGAUUCUGGAAAAGGCAGAACACCAGAGAACUCAAGAUGUACUGAUAUUUUGCCAAUUUCCUUCAUCAACAA